This is a non-coding RNA of Pelobates cultripes (western spadefoot toad), 1359 nucleotides long. The record is from the annotation of a GenBank genome assembly. Lineage: Eukaryota; Metazoa; Chordata; Amphibia; Anura; Pelobatidae.
GGCGGGGCCUGUGCCGGGGAGCUAAUCAGUGCUCCCUCCGGCCACAGACAGCCCCAGCAGCUCAGCACUGCAUUCCCUCCCUGGGCUGUAACAGGCUAUUACAGUCCGAGGGAAACCCAUGGCCAGCAGGUUGCCGGCAUUUGAGGGGGCCCAAGGGGGGGCACAGUAUGAUGUACGGGGGCCAUGGCCCCCUCUGGCCCCCCCUAGCGACGCCACUGUCUGCAGGCUUCUUCGUGGUAUGAGACUAUUGCGGCCGUCUCUGCCUAAGUAUUCCUCCCUCUGAGACUUACAUGCAGUUUUGUCGUUCCUCUGGGAUUGGCCUGAUAAUCAAGACCUUUCCCUUCGUCAACUUUUGGAUAAAUUUACCCUCUUACUAUGUCUUAUUUCAUUCAGACGUGUUUCUGAUGUCCGGGCCUUCUAUGUCAGUUUUGGUGCCGUGGGACUGAUGUCUGGCGUAACGGGUAGGUCGACUUACGGUUUGUGAGUCACUUGGACACCAUCCAUGGCAAUGGAUUGAAGAAAGAAGGUGGUAGGCCGGAAAAGCCUGUGGCUGGAUUCCUGACACAGCUCAGCUUAGAAAACCUCAUGGAGUAAUCAGGUAAAAUGGCGUCUGGAUGACCUGGAAGUGGAAAUCAUUCUGAUGCUGACCUCAAGCGAUAUGAGUCAGGUAAGGGGUGUCCCUUAUAUAAGGGGAGUGAAUUAAUUUAAGCCCCUCCCACAAAUACAGGCCAAACGGCCUUAAUACUUGUAAAAUUUAUGAAUUAUUAAAUAGAGCAAUGAAUUAUAUUCAAAAUUAGUGAGUGCGGUAUCAUUUGUUGUUAUAUGUUUGUUAGGCGGUAUAUGGGCUACCUUGAUACCUUGCACCAAUACAGAUAAAAGAGUGCCUGUACAUAGAAUUAUUGUUAACUUUAUUAAUGACAGGAGGCGAAUAUAGUUUCUCCCUCCCCUUAUUCUUUGUUUUGUUUAGGCUGACCUACUUUAGUGUUGGCCUGUUUCUCCCGGGCUAUGAUAGGGCAGGUUAUUGUGUUCCUAGGGGGAGGAGAGUGUGUGUUUGGGGAAGUUGUACUAUCAGUAAUUAAUGAUGGGUAUUCAUGUUUUCACAGUACAUUUCAUUCACUAAUCAGAGUUUUUGACUCUGUUUAUCUCGUUUCAGUUUAAUGGUUUGACUACGGUUCUUAGAUCCGGAUCUUCUUUAGGAUAAAGGUCAAGGUUCAGCCACUGGAGACAUGUUACAAGUUUCUGAUGGUGGUCAUCGACUUAUUUUGUUUGAUUCCUUCUACUAUUAUUAUUGUGCUGUUUAUUGUUCAUGUACUCUAUUUUGUCGCAGCUUGAACGAGGAAAUAGUCAGUUGGGAGGGGC